Molecule: long non-coding RNA, 908 nt
Filed under: Vigna radiata
Lineage: Eukaryota; Viridiplantae; Streptophyta; Magnoliopsida; Fabales; Fabaceae
Description: long non-coding RNA (VRAD_LNC006072)
Source: RNAcentral
GCCACUCCUGUCAACUUGGUCGGGCGGUGAACAGCUGCCCUGUCGCCCCUAACACGUUGAAGACCGCCAAGUUGAUGAACGGAGUCACUCCUGUCAACUUUCCAGCCAUCAAUUGGUCUUAACUUUGUCCUCCAAAGGCUUCAACCUCUCGGCCAACUAGAAUACCUCAAAAUCGUUUGGCCAUACACUGGCCUUCAGCUCUCGGCCAUCAACUGGCCUCGCUUCCCAACCUUCUAAGGCAUCAACCAUUCGGCCAUACACUAGCCUUCAGUUCUCGGCCAUCAACUGACCUCACUUCUCCGCCUUCUAAAGCUCAAACCGUACGGCCUUCAACUGGCCUCAAGCUCUCGACCUCCAAAGGCCUCAACCUCUCGGCCAACUAGAAGGCCUCGAAUCCGUUCGACCAUACACUGGUCUUCAACUCUCGGCCAUCAACUAGCCUCACUUCCCAGCCUUCUAAGGCUCCAACCGUUCGACCAUACACUGGCCUUCAGUUCUCGGCCAUCAAUUGGCCUCACUUCUCCGCCUUCUAAGGCUCAAACCAUUCGGCCUUCAAUUGGCCUCAACCUCUCGGCCAACUAGAAGGCCUCAAAUUCGUUCGGCCAUACAUUGGCCUUUAGCUCUCAGCCAUCAACUGGCCUCACUUCUCAACCUUCUAUGGCUCAAACCAUUCGGCCUUCAACUGGCCUCAAGCUCUCGGCCUCCAAAGGCCCCAACCUCUCGGCCAACUGGAAGGCCUUAAAUCCAUUCGGCCAUACACUGGCCUUCAGCUCUCGGCCAUCAACUGGCCUCCCUUCUCCGCCUUCUCAAGGGUAGGAGGAGGAGGGUGUACUUCAUCAUGUUCUUCUUCAUCAUCAUCACCUUCUAUUGGUGCUUCUAAUUCAUCUCCAUCACCAUCAGGGUCGCGC